This 251-nucleotide ribosomal RNA is filed under the name uncultured bacterium. RNAcentral's name for it is "partial 16S ribosomal RNA". It matches the Rfam family "Bacterial small subunit ribosomal RNA", at positions 111 to 354 of the family's 1533-position model. The record is from RNAcentral.
UAACACGUAGGGAACCGUGCCCAUGCGGCCGGGACAACUUCCGGAAACGGAUGCUGAUACCGGAUAAGGAAAGCGAAGGCAUCUUUGCUUUGUUAAAGGAGCUGCAAGGCUCCGCGCAUGGAUGGACCUGCGGUGCAUUAGCUGGUUGGUGAGGUAAAGGCUCACCAAGGCGACGAUGCAUAGCCGGCCUGAGAGGGCGAACGGCCACACUGGGACUGAGACACGGCCCAGACUCCUACGGGAGGCAGCAG